UCUUUAGGAAUUUGAAUAGAAUUAGAAAAACCUAGGAUAAGGCACAACGCUUUGGAUCAUUUUAUUAUUCUUUAUUUGGGGGCACUUUUUUUCUUUCUUGGGGAUUAACGGAGUAAACGCCUUCUAUAUUUGGGACUUUUUUUUUCAUUUACGUAUUUAUUUAAUAAAAGUUUUUUUGAGAUUCAAAAUCAUGUUUCACUCUUCACCUUGGUAUUCAUUAAUUCUUCGAUUUAUGAGAAAGAUAAGAUCACCUCAUUAGUAUUGUUG
Molecule: long non-coding RNA, 267 nt
Filed under: Gossypium raimondii (Peruvian cotton)
Lineage: Eukaryota; Viridiplantae; Streptophyta; Magnoliopsida; Malvales; Malvaceae
Description: long non-coding RNA (GRAI_LNC001938)
Source: RNAcentral